CCCCACCUCUGUUGCUGCAAUCCGCAGUGGACAGACCUUCCUGAAGCAUGAUGUGCCCUUCCUUUUCGCCGAAGUGAACAAUGAUAAGGUUUACUGGCAGCGGAGAUGUGAUGGGACCUUUGGUGUUGUUCAUACUGAGAAGGAUGUAGUAGGUCACUGCAUCAGUACCAAAGCUGUUGGCUCAGAUCAACGUGUAGACAUCACAAAUCUCUACAAACACCCACUUGGUUCUUCUGAGAAGAGCACUGCUUUGGAAACAGCCCUUCGUCAUGGGUUGAGAAGAUGCACAUACCCACUGCCCUGUGCUGAGGAUGUUGUCUGUGAAGUCAGCCUGAAAGAGGACGGACCAUGUGUGGGCAAGGAUG
Sinocyclocheilus rhinocerous is the source of this 365-nucleotide long non-coding RNA. RefSeq lists it as uncharacterized. The transcript has 3 exons. The record is from RefSeq and is a predicted model, not a curated record. Lineage: Eukaryota; Metazoa; Chordata; Actinopteri; Cypriniformes; Cyprinidae.